UCCCCCCCCACUCCCUGCACACCCACCCCUUAGCUGGGAGCGCCUAACAUGCAGCCAGAAAAAAAAAUGUGGAAGGCCGGUUCACAUCUACCACCUAGAGAGCAAAAUCCUCAGUGGUGUUGGUUUCGCAUAUGUGCCCAUGUUCACUUCCUAGGGCUGCUGAACAAAGUGCCACAAACCACCUGGCUGAAAACAACAGGAAUCUGUGUCUCAUCGCUCCGGAGGCUGGAAUUCUACGAUCAAGGUGAUGUCAAGGCCAGGCUCUCUCUGAGGCUCGGGGGUAGAGGCUGUCCUGCCUCUUCCUGGUUUCUGGUGGGGCGGACGGUGCCCGCGGACCCUCCUGCAGGCUGCGACCCCCGCCUUGACUGCACACCAGGGUUCCAGUGUGACUCGGGCUUCACGCGGCGUUUCCCUCUUUUUAUAAGGACAGCAGUUGUACUGGACGAGGGGCCCCCAUUCCAAUGCGACCUCGUUCUAAUUAAUCACACCCGCAAGAACUCUAUUUCCAAAUGAGGUGACAUUCUGAGGUCCUGGGGGUUAGGACUUCAACAUCGUUUUUGGAGAAAACAACUCGACCUUUAACAAUGCCCAAGAGAAAUGGUUUCAUUUUUAGCAAGUGCACGUUAGAGUUCGCCACUCGAGGCAUCUUUCUCAAGGAUUUCUAACGAUAGCUCGUGGUAUAGGUUGCAUUUAUUUUUCACCAUAAUGAUUUUUAAGACGUCAAAGCCUUGGCCCAACGACAUGGGUGAGUGUGUUUUCACUGUGAGAAAAGAUUCUGUGCUGCUUUCAAAUGUCUGCAGGUUUAUUUUUAGCUGGACAGGAAAUGCAUCUUACGCUCAUGUUCAUUUGUAGGCUGCCCCUUUUUUGGAGGGGUGUUAUUGUUAGAAAACCACGUUCAGUGUGGAGAUGAGUUUGGAUUGAGCAAGUCUAAGUUAUAAUUAUACUACUCUCUGCUAUAGAUUUUCCAAAAUAAUCUUUCUGUUCAUCAGAAUGUGAAAUCUUUCAAAUAAUGGCUCCGUUUGUUAUUCACAAUUGCCCAGCAUUUGUCUUUAAGUGAAGGGCCGAGAGGUUUCGAUUUAACCUGGGGUUGAAUUGAAGGUAGCGUGUCCAUAUAGUGAGAUGUAAAGUGAAAAAUAAAAAUUUAUAAACAUGCUAUGUCGUGACCACAUGAUACCAGAGCCAUUUUUAUUUGUUAUGACUAAACUUCCAGUUGUUUCAAAGGGAGGGAAGCAGUUCAAUUCAGAACUUACCUAAAAUUUUCAUUGUUUCAGCAAAGGGAUCUGUGAUUGGGGGAAGUUUAACUCCUAAGUAGGGGACCUUUCCCUCAGACAAGCUGCUCGUAUUUGUCGCUGGCGCCAGGGAGAAGCUAAUGUUUCAGAAGAGAGCAAGGUAAUUCCAUCCUAAUGCCGUAAUGAGGGUGACAGUGAGGUACAGGAAAUGGUGGGACAUUCCACCUAAAAAUAACCAUCAUGGUUAUAUUGGCAGGUGGCUGUGAUCUCCAUUUCCAAAGGGGAAGCUUCAGGGGGAGGUCCUUUGGCCUUCCUUGGUGGGAUUGCCUGGGAAAAGUGAUCAUUUCACAGAACAGUGUCUGUCUCUCCAUCCUCUUCUUUGAGAGACUCCUGAAUGAAUAAAGCUAUCAUUCUCACACCCCA
Molecule: long non-coding RNA, 1652 nt
Organism: Sapajus apella (tufted capuchin)
Lineage: Eukaryota; Metazoa; Chordata; Mammalia; Primates; Cebidae
Exons: 2
Source: RefSeq, a predicted model, not a curated record